RNAcentral lists this ribosomal RNA (429 nucleotides) under uncultured bacterium. RNAcentral's name for it is "bacterial SSU rRNA". It matches the Rfam family "Bacterial small subunit ribosomal RNA", at positions 355 to 775 of the family's 1533-position model. The record is from RNAcentral.
UGAGGAAUCUUGCGCAAUGGGGGCAACCCUGACGCAGCAACGCCGCGUGAGUGAGGAAGGUCUUCGGAUCGUAAAGCUCUGUCGGAUGGAAAGAACCGCAUAGGGGCAAACAGCCCCUGUGUCUGACGGUACCGUCAAAGGAAGCACCGGCUAACUCCGUGCCAGCAGCCGCGGUAAUACGGGGGGUGCAAGCGUUGUUCGGAAUUAUUGGGCGUAAAGAGCGUGUAGGCGGCCGGAUAUGUCAGAUGUGAAAGCCCUGGGCUUAACCCAGGAAGUGCAUUUGAAACUGUCCGGCUCGAGUAGGGGAGAGGGAAGUGGAAUUCCUGGCGUAGAGGUGAAAUUCGUAGAUAUCAGGAGGAACACCGGUGGCGAAGGCGACUUCCUGGCCCUAUACUGACGCUGAGACGCGAGAGCGUGGGUAGCAAACAG